Molecule: ribosomal RNA, 2902 nt
Filed under: Cronobacter sakazakii
Lineage: Bacteria; Pseudomonadati; Pseudomonadota; Gammaproteobacteria; Enterobacterales; Enterobacteriaceae
Description: 23S ribosomal RNA
Rfam family: Bacterial large subunit ribosomal RNA
Source: RNAcentral
GGUUAAGCGAACAAGCGUACACGGUGGAUGCCCUGGCAGUCAGAGGCGAUGAAGGACGUGCUAAUCUGCGAAAAGCGCCGGUAAGGUGAUAUGAACCGUUAUAACCGGCGAUGUCCGAAUGGGGAAACCCGGUGCACUUCGGUGCAUCAUCGUUAGCUGAAUACAUAGGCUAACGAGGCGAACCGGGGGAACUGAAACAUCUAAGUACCCCGAGGAAAAGAAAUCAACCGAGAUUCCCCCAGUAGCGGCGAGCGAACGGGGAACAGCCCAGAGCCUGAAUCAGCUUGUGUGUCAGUGGAACGGUCUGGAAAGGCCGGCGAUACAGGGUGACAGCCCCGUACACGAAGGCACACAGGCUGUGAGCUCGAUGAGUAGGGCGGGACACGUGAUAUCCUGUCUGAAGAUGGGGGGACCAUCCUCCAAGGCUAAAUACUCCUGACUGACCGAUAGUGAACCAGUACCGUGAGGGAAAGGCGAAAAGAACCCCGGCGAGGGGAGUGAAACAGAACCUGAAACCGUGUACGUACAAGCAGUGGGAGCCUUCGUAAGAGGGUGACUGCGUACCUUUUGUAUAAUGGGUCAGCGACUUAUAUUCUGUAGCAAGGUUAACCGUAUAGGGGAGCCGAAGGGAAACCGAGUCUUAAUUGGGCGUUAAGUUGCAGGGUAUAGACCCGAAACCCGGUGAUCUAGCCAUGGGCAGGUUGAAGGUUGGGUAACACUAACUGGAGGACCGAACCGACUAAUGUUGAAAAAUUAGCGGAUGACCUGUGGCUGGGGGUGAAAGGCCAAUCAAACCGGGAGAUAGCUGGUUCUCCCCGAAAGCUAUUUAGGUAGCGCCUCGUGAACUCAUCUCCGGGGGUAGAGCACUGUUUCGGCUAGGGGGCCAUCCCGGCUUACCAACCCGAUGCAAACUGCGAAUACCGGAGAAUGUUAUCACGGGAGACACACGGCGGGUGCUAACGUCCGUCGUGAAGAGGGAAACAACCCAGACCGCCAGCUAAGGUCCCAAAGUCAUGGUUAAGUGGGAAACGAUGUGGGAAGGCCCAGACAGCCAGGAUGUUGGCUUAGAAGCAGCCAUCAUUUAAAGAAAGCGUAAUAGCUCACUGGUCGAGUCGGCCUGCGCGGAAGAUGUAACGGGGCUAAACCAUGCACCGAAGCUGCGGCAGCGACACUAUGUGUUGUUGGGUAGGGGAGCGUUCUGUAAGCCUGCGAAGGUGUGCUGUGAGGCAUGCUGGAGGUAUCAGAAGUGCGAAUGCUGACAUAAGUAACGAUAAAGCGGGUGAAAAGCCCGCUCGCCGGAAGACCAAGGGUUCCUGUCCAACGUUAAUCGGGGCAGGGUGAGUCGACCCCUAAGGCGAGGCCGAAAGGCGUAGUCGAUGGGAAACAGGUUAAUAUUCCUGUACUUGGUGUUACUGCGAAGGGGGGACGGAGAAGGCUAUGUCGGCCGGGCGACGGUUGUCCCGGUUUAAGCGUGUAGGCUGACUUUCCAGGCAAAUCCGGAAAGUUAAGGCUGAGGCGUGAUGACGAGGCACCACGGUGCUGAAGUGACAAAUGCCCUGCUUCCAGGAAAAGCCUCUAAGCAUCAGGUAACAUCAAAUCGUACCCCAAACCGACACAGGUGGUCAGGUAGAGAAUACCAAGGCGCUUGAGAGAACUCGGGUGAAGGAACUAGGCAAAAUGGUGCCGUAACUUCGGGAGAAGGCACGCUGACAUGUAGGUGAAGCCCCUGCGGGUGGAGCUGAAGUCAGUCGAAGAUACCAGCUGGCUGCAACUGUUUAUUAAAAACACAGCACUGUGCAAACACGAAAGUGGACGUAUACGGUGUGACGCCUGCCCGGUGCCGGAAGGUUAAUUGAUGGGGUUAUCGCAAGAGAAGCUCCUGAUCGAAGCCCCGGUAAACGGCGGCCGUAACUAUAACGGUCCUAAGGUAGCGAAAUUCCUUGUCGGGUAAGUUCCGACCUGCACGAAUGGCGUAAUGAUGGCCAGGCUGUCUCCACCCGAGACUCAGUGAAAUUGAACUCGCUGUGAAGAUGCAGUGUACCCGCGGCAAGACGGAAAGACCCCGUGAACCUUUACUACAGCUUGACACUGAACAUUGAGCCUUGAUGUGUAGGAUAGGUGGGAGGCUUUGAAGCGUGGACGCCAGUCUGCGUGGAGCCGACCUUGAAAUACCACCCUUUAAUGUUUGAUGUUCUAACCUGGCGCCAUAAUCUGGCGUGGGGACAGUGUCUGGUGGGUAGUUUGACUGGGGCGGUCUCCUCCCAAAGUGUAACGGAGGAGCACGAAGGUCAGCUAAUCCUGGUCGGACAUCAGGAGGUUAGUGCAAUGGCAUAAGCUGGCUUGACUGCGAGAGUGACGGCUCGAGCAGGUGCGAAAGCAGGUCAUAGUGAUCCGGUGGUUCUGUAUGGAAGGGCCAUCGCUCAACGGAUAAAAGGUACUCCGGGGAUAACAGGCUGAUACCGCCCAAGAGUUCAUAUCGACGGCGGUGUUUGGCACCUCGAUGUCGGCUCAUCACAUCCUGGGGCUGAAGUAGGUCCCAAGGGUAUGGCUGUUCGCCAUUUAAAGUGGUACGCGAGCUGGGUUUAGAACGUCGUGAGACAGUUCGGUCCCUAUCUGCCGUGGGCGCUGGAGAAUUGAGGGGGGCUGCUCCCAGUACGAGAGGACCGGAGUGGACGCAUCACUGGUGUUCGGGUUGUCAUGCCAAUGGCACUGCCCGGUAGCUAAAUGCGGAAGAGAUAAGUGCUGAAAGCAUCUAAGCACGAAACUUGCCCCGAGAUGAGUUCUCCCUGAGACUAUAAGUCUCCUGAAGGAACGUUGAAGACGACGACGUUGAUAGGCCGGGUGUGUAAGCGCAGCGAUGCGUUGAGCUAACCGGUACUAAUGAACCGUGAGGCUUAACCUU